This is a long non-coding RNA of Bombus huntii, 1104 nucleotides long. RefSeq lists it as uncharacterized. The record is from RefSeq and is a predicted model, not a curated record. Lineage: Eukaryota; Metazoa; Arthropoda; Insecta; Hymenoptera; Apidae. The transcript is spliced from 3 exons.
GCCCCGAGGCGCUGAGCCGCCAGCGCGCUUCGCCAACGCCACACGGAGUUCCCAGGCGAUCACCCAUCCAAGUACUAUCCGUACCCGACGCUGUUUAACUUUCGUGAUCUGACGGGAACGAGUGCACUCAGCGCGGUCAGGGCGUUGGCAUUUCUAUUUUUUACUUAACGUGUUUGCACCUCGGCAUCCUAUAUGAAUGGAAACGAGGAAAGGCUAGAGAGACGCAGAGAGAUAAACUGAUCAGUGAAGUCGAGUAAACGUAUGGGCGUCGUUUUUUAUGAACAAGAACAAGGAGAGGAAUUCUACGGUCCUUGGAAUGGAGAACUUCCAGCUUAUCACCCAGAAGUGUAUGGAUAAUUACUCACUUACUGUUACCAAUUAAUUAAAAUAUCUUCGACCUUAUCAUUUGUCAAAACUGUUAUUACAAUGUAGAUAAAAUGCCAAAAGCAAGAAGGAAUUGUAGAGGCUAUAAUCCAGAAUGAUAGAGCUCUGUAUACGACUGUUAAACCCGAUAUUUCGUUAUCGAACUCACGAUAAGAAUAAAUAUAAUGACCGAGCCCUUCUCGCUGGGCCAUUCGAUUGUUGCAUAUUCACUACCGUAAUCUCCAGGUCGCAAUAUACAUUGACAAAUUUUGAACAGAUGUUACGAUAAUAAAAUGAGCCGUGACACUUUUACAAUUUAUGAUUUUACAAUCCGCGGGAAAAUAACGUACUCAAUAUUCUGAUUUGUGACUCAACAAAAAUAAAGAAACAAAUUUAUACGUUCUCUGUAUUGCAUAUCUCGUUGAACAUAUGGAAAAUCGCUAGUAGCACAUAGAUUAUGAAGAUACAUUUUGCUGGUUAUGAUAUAUUAAUCCUAGUUUUUCAGUACUAUAUCAUAUUUGGAUUUAGGCUUGAAGAACACUUCUUCUUUACUAGUGUUGCUGUUUUUAAGAUCUGUUUCUCGUAGUAGGUCUAUAGAAUUGUAUUAUAUAUUCAACAUUAUUCAUGAAUAUAUUAUGAAAAUUAUGUAAGAAAAUUUAAAUAAAAGGCAAAUUUGAGGUAACAAACUGAUAGAGCAUGUUAUACAAAAUAUGUUGUAAAACGAAUAAACUCACUUCACUU